GAUGAACGCUGGCGGCGUGCCUAAAACAUGCAAGUCGUGCGGAAACACUUCGGGUGUCGAGCGGCGGACGGGUGAGUAACGCGUGAGAAUCUGCCCCAAACUGAGGGAUAAGCCAGAGAAAUCUGGUCUAAUACCGCAUACGGUCUUCGGAUUAAAGCUUCGGCGGUCUGGGAGGAGCUCGCGUCAGAUUAGCUAGUUGGUGAGGUAAUGGCUUACCAAGGCGACGAUCUGUAGCUGGUUUGAGAGGAUGAUCAGCCACACUGGAACUGAGACACGGUCCAGACUCCUACGGGAGGCAGCAGUUAGGAAUCUUCCACAAUGGGCGCAAGCCUGAUGGAGCAACGCCGCGUGCAGGAUGAAGGCCUUCGGGUUGUAAACUGCUUUUAUAAGUGAGGAAUAUGACGGUAACUUAUGAAUAAGGAUCGGCUAACUACGUGCCAGCCGCCGCCGUAACAC
This 456-nucleotide ribosomal RNA is filed under the name uncultured bacterium. Its description in RNAcentral is "bacterial SSU rRNA". It matches the Rfam family "Bacterial small subunit ribosomal RNA", at positions 28 to 526 of the family's 1533-position model. The record is from RNAcentral.